UGCAUACAUGGAUAGGUGUUUGGCAUGAUCAUGACCACUGGUGAUACAAACGAUUAUCUUUGGCCCAUAGUGCAUAGAUAAUUCGUUGAUUGAAAAUAAUUAUUGAUUAGUGUUACAGGGAUAAAAUAUUGAUGAUGGACUUUUAAAUCAUAGAAGAUAGUAGAUAUCAUGCUGUACUUGACUCUUCUAAUGGAUUAUUGUUUCCGCUACAGUUGUUGAUCUAAAACUUAUUGUCUAUUGUAUUCUAUCAAUUUUUUUCUGUUAAGAACUAAAGAUAAUUUGUUCUACGUUAUCUUAGUCAUAAUAUUCUUUACUGGGCUAGUUGAGCUCGCCCUUUUUCUUUUGGUUCCAUUGUUAUUCUCAGGAGGCGAGAAUGUAGUUGAGACUAGUCGGAGAAUUGAGUAAUGGUUCAAGAUGGUUAUUUUAGAAUCCUCACUAUUUUGUAAAAUAGUGUGACAAUAAUUGUAAUAAAAAUUUUAUUUGAGUUUGGAUAUUGUCUACGAGACAAUACUUGUAUUAAAAC
Molecule: long non-coding RNA, 523 nt
Filed under: Panax ginseng (ginseng)
Lineage: Eukaryota; Viridiplantae; Streptophyta; Magnoliopsida; Apiales; Araliaceae
Description: long non-coding RNA (PGIN_LNC006062)
Source: RNAcentral